CUGGCUCAGAGUGAACGCUGGCGGUAGGCCUAACACAUGCAAGUCGAACGGCAGCACAGAGGAGCUUGCUCCUUGGGUGGCGAGUGGCGGACGGGUGAGGAAUACAUCGGAAUC
RNAcentral lists this ribosomal RNA (114 nucleotides) under Stenotrophomonas sp. CC22-02. RNAcentral describes it as "partial 16S ribosomal RNA". It matches the Rfam family "Bacterial small subunit ribosomal RNA", at positions 19 to 125 of the family's 1533-position model. The record is from RNAcentral. Lineage: Bacteria; Pseudomonadati; Pseudomonadota; Gammaproteobacteria; Lysobacterales; Lysobacteraceae.